UCCGGAGGGUGCAAUCGUUAUCCGGAAUCACUGGGUUUAAAGGGUGCGUAGGCGGCUUGAUAAGUCAGGGGUGAAAGCCCGCAGCUUAACUGCGGAACUGCCUUUGAUACUGUCGAGCUUGAAAGAGGUUGAGGUCAGCGGAACGUGACAUGUAGCGGUGAAAUGCAUAGAUAUGUCACAGAACACCGAUUGCGAAGGCAGCUGGCUGGACCUACUUUGACGCUGAGGCACGAAAGCGUGGGGAGAGAACAGG
RNAcentral lists this ribosomal RNA (253 nucleotides) under uncultured bacterium. Its description in RNAcentral is "partial 16S ribosomal RNA". It matches the Rfam family "Bacterial small subunit ribosomal RNA", at positions 524 to 776 of the family's 1533-position model. The record is from RNAcentral.